GAUAGCUCAGUUGGUUAGAGAAUGGAGCUGAUAACGGCAAGCUUGCAGGUUCGAUCCCUGAACGGGACA
Podarcis lilfordi (Lilford's wall lizard) is the source of this 69-nucleotide non-coding RNA. Lineage: Eukaryota; Metazoa; Chordata; Lepidosauria; Squamata; Lacertidae. The record is from the annotation of a GenBank genome assembly.